Camelus ferus (Wild Bactrian camel) is the source of this 45-nucleotide non-coding RNA. Lineage: Eukaryota; Metazoa; Chordata; Mammalia; Artiodactyla; Camelidae. The record is from Rfam.
ACAAAGGUUUUAUUAAAAACUAUAAAAAUCCCAUUUAAAAACUUU